AUUGAACGCUGGCGGCAGGCCUAACACAUGCAAGUCGAGCGGUAGCACGGGUACUUGUACCUGGUGGCGAGCGGCGGACGGGUGAGUAAUGCCUAGGAAUCUGCCUGGUAGUGGGGGAUAACGCUCGGAAACGGACGCUAAUACCGCAUACGUCCUACGGGAGAAAGCAGGGGACCUUCGGGCCUUGCGCUAUCAGAUGAGCCUAGGUCGGAUUAGCUAGUUGGUGAGGUAAUGGCUCACCAAGGCGACGAUCCGUAACUGGUCUGAGAGGAUGAUCAGUCACACUGGAACUGAGACACGGUCCAGACUCCUACGGGAGGCAGCAGUGGGGAAUAUUGGACAAUGGGCGAAAGCCUGAUCCAGCCAUGCCGCGUGUGUGAAGAAGGUCUUCGGAUUGUAAAGCACUUUAAGUUGGGAGGAAGGGCAGUUACCUAAUACGUAUCUGUUUUGACGUACC
Molecule: ribosomal RNA, 457 nt
Filed under: uncultured Pseudomonas sp.
Lineage: Bacteria; Pseudomonadati; Pseudomonadota; Gammaproteobacteria; Pseudomonadales; Pseudomonadaceae
Description: bacterial SSU rRNA
Rfam family: Bacterial small subunit ribosomal RNA
Source: RNAcentral